GGUUAAGCGACUAAGCGUACACGGUGGAUGCCCUGGCAGUCAGAGGCGAUGAAGGACGUGCUAAUCUGCGAAAAGCGUCGGUAAGGUGAUAUGAACCGUUAUAACCGGCGAUGUCCGAAUGGGGAAACCCAGUGCAAUUCGUUGCACUAUCGUUAACUGAAUACAUAGGUUAACGAGGCGAACCGGGGAACUGAAACAUCUAAGUACCCCGAGGAAAAGAAAUCAACCGAGAUUCCCCAGUAGCGGCGAGCGAACGGGGAGCAGCCCAGAGUCUGAAUCAGCUUGUGUGUUAGUGGAACGGUCUGGAAAGUCCGACGGUACAGGGUGAUAGUCCCGUACACCAAAAUGCACAGGCUGUGAACUCGAAGAGUAGGGCGGGACACGUGGUAUCCUGUCUGAAUAUGGGGACCAUCCUCCAAGGCUAAAUACUCCUGACUGACCGAUAGUGAACCAGUACCGUGAGGGAAAGGCGAAAAGAACCCCGGCGAGGGAGUGAAAAGAACCUGAAACCGUGUACGUACAAGCAGUGGGAGCACCUUCGGGUGUGACUGCGUACCUUUGUAUAAUGGGUCAGCGACUUAUAUUCUGUAGCAAGGUUAACCGUAUAGGGAGCCGCAGGAAACCGAGUCUUAACUGGGCGUUAAGUUGCAGGGUAUAGACCCGAAACCCGGUGAUCUAGCCAUGGGCAGGUUGAAGGUUGGGUAACACUAACUGGAGGACCGAACCGACUAAUGUUGAAAAAUUAGCGGAUGACUUGUGGCUGGGGUGAAAGGCCAAUCAAACCGGGAGAUAGCUGGUUCUCCCGAAAGCUAUUUAGGUAGCGCCUCGUGAAUUCAUCUUCGGGGUAGAGCACUGUUUCGGCUAGGGGUCAUCCCGACUUACCAACCCGAUGCAAACUACGAAUACCGAAGAAUGUUAUCACGGGAGACACACGGCGGGUGCUAACGUCCGUCGUGAAGAGGGAAACAACCCAGACCGCCAGCUAAGGUCCCAAAGUCAUGGUUAAGUGGGAAACGAUGUGGGAAGGCACAGACAGCCAGGAUGUUGGCUUAGAAGCAGCCAUCAUUUAAAGAAAGCGUAAUAGCUCACUGGUCGAGUCGGCCUGCGCGGAAGAUGUAACGGGGCUAAACCAUGCACCGAAGCUGCGGCAGCGACACUAUGUGUUGUUGGGUAGGGAGCGUUCUGUAAGCCUGCGAAGGUGACCUGUGAGGGUUGCUGGAGGUAUCAGAAGUGCGAAUGCUGACAUAAGUAACGAUAAAGCGGGUGAAAAGCCCGCUCGCCGGAAGACCAAGGGUUCCUGUCCAACGUUAAUCGGGGCAGGGUGAGUCGACCCCUAAGGCGAGGCCGAAAGGCGUAGUCGAUGGGAAACAGGUUAAUAUUCCUGUACUUGGUGUUACUGCGAAGGGGACGGAGAAGGCUAUGUUAGCCGGGCGACGGUUGUCCCGGUUUAAGCAUGUAGGCUGGUUAUCCAGGCAAAUCCGGAUAAUCAAGGCUGAGGUGUGAUGACGAGGCACUACGGUGCUGAAGUAACAAAUGCCCUGCUUCCAGGAAAAGCCUCUAAGCAUCAGGUAACAUCAAAUCGUACCCCAAACCGACACAGGUGGUCAGGUAGAGAAUACCAAGGCGCUUGAGAGAACUCGGGUGAAGGAACUAGGCAAAAUGGUGCCGUAACUUCGGGAGAAGGCACGCUGGUGUGUAGGUGAAGUCCCUGCGGAUGGAGCUGAGACCAGUCGAAGAUACCAGCUGGCUGCAACUGUUUAUUAAAAACACAGCACUGUGCAAACACGAAAGUGGACGUAUACGGUGUGACGCCUGCCCGGUGCCGGAAGGUUAAUUGAUGGGGUUAUCCGUAAGGAGAAGCUCUUGAUCGAAGCCCGGUAAACGGCGGCCGUAACUAUAACGGUCCUAAGGUAGCGAAAUUCCUUGUCGGGUAAGUUCCGACCUGCACGAAUGGCGUAAUGAUGGCCAGGCUGUCUCCACCCGAGACUCAGUGAAAUUGAACUCGCUGUGAAGAUGCAGUGUACCCGCGGCAAGACGGAAAGACCCCGUGAACCUUUACUAUAGCUUGACACUGAACAUUGAGCCUUGAUGUGUAGGAUAGGUGGGAGGCUUUGAAGCGUGGACGCCAGUCUGCGUGGAGCCAACCUUGAAAUACCACCCUUUAAUGUUUGAUGUUCUAACGUUGGCCCCUGACCGGGGUUGCGGACAGUGUCUGGUGGGUAGUUUGACUGGGGCGGUCUCCUCCCAAAGCGUAACGGAGGAGCACGAAGGUUAGCUAAUCCUGGUCGGACAUCAGGAGGUUAGUGCAAUGGCAUAAGCUAGCUUGACUGCGAGCGUGACGGCGCGAGCAGGUGCGAAAGCAGGUCAUAGUGAUCCGGUGGUUCUGAAUGGAAGGGCCAUCGCUCAACGGAUAAAAGGUACUCCGGGGAUAACAGGCUGAUACCGCCCAAGAGUUCAUAUCGACGGCGGUGUUUGGCACCUCGAUGUCGGCUCAUCACAUCCUGGGGCUGAAGUAGGUCCCAAGGGUAUGGCUGUUCGCCAUUUAAAGUGGUACGCGAGCUGGGUUUAGAACGUCGUGAGACAGUUCGGUCCCUAUCUGCCGUGGGCGCUGGAGAAUUGAGGGGCUGCUCCUAGUACGAGAGGACCGGAGUGGACGCAUCACUGGUGUUCGGGUUGUCAUGCCAAUGGCACUGCCCGGUAGCUAAAUGCGGAAGAGAUAAGUGCUGAAAGCAUCUAAGCACGAAACUUGCCCCGAGAUGAGUUCUCCUGAGACUUUAAGUCUCCUGAAGGAACGUUGAAGACGACGACGUUGAUAGGCCGGGUGUGUAAGCGCAGCGAUGCGUUGAGCUAACCGGUACUAAUGAACCGUGAGGCUUAACCUU
This 2882-nucleotide ribosomal RNA is filed under the name Klebsiella pneumoniae. RNAcentral's name for it is "23S ribosomal RNA". It matches the Rfam family "Bacterial large subunit ribosomal RNA". The record is from RNAcentral. Lineage: Bacteria; Pseudomonadati; Pseudomonadota; Gammaproteobacteria; Enterobacterales; Enterobacteriaceae.